GACGAACGCUGGCGGCGUGCUUAACACAUGCAAGUCGAACGAGGCAGCGCCUUCGGGCCGUUGUCGAGUGGCGAACGGGUGAGUAACACGUGAGGAACCUGCCCCGGAGACCGGGACAACCAGGGGAAACCCUGGCUAAUACCGGAUGCCCUCGGAUGGUCGCAUGGCCGACCGAGGAAACGCUCCGGUGCUCCGGGAGGGCCUCGCGGCCUAUCAGCUUGUUGGUGGGGUAACGGCCCACCAAGGCAUNGACGGGUAGCUGGUCUGAGAGGACGAUCAGCCACACUGGGACUGANACACGGCCCAGACUCCUACGGGAGGCAGCAGUGGGGAAUAUUGCGCAAUGGGCGAAAGCCUGACGCAGCAACGCCGCGUGGGGGAUGAAGGCCUUCGGGUUGUAAACCCCUUU
Molecule: ribosomal RNA, 409 nt
Filed under: uncultured sponge symbiont RSWS22
Lineage: Bacteria
Description: bacterial SSU rRNA
Rfam family: Bacterial small subunit ribosomal RNA
Source: RNAcentral